RNAcentral lists this ribosomal RNA (1486 nucleotides) under Cutibacterium acnes. RNAcentral's name for it is "bacterial LSU rRNA". It matches the Rfam family "Bacterial large subunit ribosomal RNA", at positions 1 to 1450 of the family's 2925-position model. The record is from RNAcentral. Lineage: Bacteria; Bacillati; Actinomycetota; Actinomycetes; Propionibacteriales; Propionibacteriaceae.
GCAAAGUUGUGUAGUGCGAUCGGUGGAUGCCUUGGCACCAAGAGCCGAUGAAGGACGUUGUGACCUGCGAUAAGCCCUGGGGAGUUGGUGAGCGAGCUGUGAUCCGGGGGUGUCCGAAUGGGGAAACCUGGAAUGUCCGGAGUAGUGUCCGGUGGCCCUGCCCUGAAUGUAUAGGGGUGUGGGUGGUAACGCGGGGAAGUGAAACAUCUUAGUACCCGUAGGAAGAGAAAACAAGUGUGAUUCCGUGAGUAGUGGCGAGCGAAAGCGGAGGAGGCUAAACCGUGUGUGUGUUCAAGCCGGCAGGUGUUGCAUGUGCGGGGUUGUGGGGGCCUUGUGGUUCUGCUGCCGCAGGAUUGGCCAGUGAGAAAUGUUGCGUGAAGGUGAAGCGUCUGGGAAGGCGUACCGGAGUGGGUGAGAGUCCUGUAACUGUAAGCGUGGCACUGGUGUGGGGUUGCCCCGAGUAGCGUGGGACUCGUGGAAUUUCGCGUGAAUCUGGCGGGACCACCCGUCAAGCCUAAAUACUCCUUGGUGACCGAUAGUGGAUGAGUACCGUGAGGGAAGGGUGAAAAGUACCCCGGGAGGGGAGUGAAAGAGUUCCUGAAACCGGUCGCAUGCAAGCCGUCAGAGCCUGUGUGGUGAUGGCGUGCCUUUUGAAGAAUGAGCCUGCGAGUUAGUGAUGCGUGGCGAGGUUAACCCGUGGUGGGGGAGUCGUAGCGAAAGCGAGUCCGAUAAGGGCGUGAGUCGCGUGUUCUAGACCCGAAGCGGUGUGAUCUAUCCAUGGCCAGGAUGAAGCGUCGGUAAGACGUCGUGGAGGUCCGAACCCACUUCAGUUGAAAAUGGAGGGGAUGAGUUGUGGAUAGGGGUGAAAGGCCAAUCAAACACCGUGAUAGCUGGUUCUCCCCGAAAUGCAUUUAGGUGCAGCGUUGCGUGGUUCUUGUUGGAGGUAGAGCACUGGAUGGUCUAGGGGGCUUAUCGGCUUACCGAAAUCAGCCAAACUCCGAAUGCUGGCAAGUGUAGCGUGGCAGUGAGACGGCGGGGGAUAAGCUUCGUCGUCGAGAGGGAAACAGCCCAGAUCAUCAGCUAAGGCCCCUAAGUGGUGACUCAGUGGGAAAGGAUGUGGAGUUGCGUAGACAACCAGGAGGUUGGCUUGGAAGCAGCCAUCCUUGAAAGAGUGCGUAAUAGCUCACUGGUCAAGUGAUUCCGCGCCGAUAAUGUAGCAGGGCUUAAGUUAUCCGCCGAAGCUGUGGCAACCUGUGUGGUUGGGUAGGGGAGCGUCGUGUCAGUGGUGAAGCUGCCGGGUGACUGUGUGGUGGAGUUGAUGCGAGUGAGAAUGCAGGCAUGAGUAGCGUGUGACGGGUGGGAAUCCCGUCCGCCGAUUAUCCAAGGGUUCCAGGGUCAAGUUUGUCUGCCCUGGGUGAGUCGGGUCCUAAGGCGAGGCCGACAGGCGUAGUCGAUGGGUAACCAGUUGAUAUUCUGGUACCGGCUU